Molecule: ribosomal RNA, 377 nt
Filed under: uncultured bacterium
Lineage: Bacteria
Description: bacterial SSU rRNA
Rfam family: Bacterial small subunit ribosomal RNA
Source: RNAcentral
AGACGAACCGUCCGAACGUUAUUCGGUAUCACUGGGCUUAAAGAGUUCGUAGGCGGCCCGACAGGUGAGGUGUGAAAUCCCUCGGCUCAACCGAGGAACUGCGCUUCAAACCGUCAGGCUUGAGGGAGACAGAGGUAGGCGGAACAGAUGGUGGAGCGGUGAAAUGCGUUGAUAUCAUCUGGAACACCGGUGGCGAAAGCGGCCUACUGGGUCUUUUCUGACGCUGAGGAACGAAAGCUAGGGUAGCGAACGGGAUUAGAUACCCCGGUAGUCCUAGCCGUAAACGAUGAGCACUAGCCCGUGGGGACUCUCACAUCCUCUCGGGCGUAGCGAAAGUGUUAAGUGCUCCGCCUGGGGAGUAUGGUCGCAAGGCUGAA